This 71-nucleotide transfer RNA is filed under the name Actinomycetota bacterium. RNAcentral's name for it is "tRNA-Gln". It matches the Rfam family "tRNA". Rfam says of the family: Transfer RNA (tRNA) molecules are approximately 80 nucleotides in length. Their secondary structure includes four short double-helical elements and three loops (D, anti-codon, and T loops). The record is from RNAcentral. Lineage: Bacteria; Bacillati; Actinomycetota.
UCCCGCGUCGUCUAAGGGCCGGACAACGGACUUUGACUCCGUGAAUGGGGGUUCGAAUCCCUCCGCGGGAG